AAUGGGAGUUCUCCACUAAGGUAGCUACGGGUAGAGUAUUGAGCUCCUAAAAAUCCCUGAUUUUGUGAGAUUGGGCAAAGGAGAUUUUUACCAUUAUAAGAUAAGUCAAAGGAGGGGAGAAGAAAGAAAGUGAAAAGCUUGGCCAAAUUGGAUAGAAACCAUUAGGGAUUCUUGGAAAAGAAUAGUUUCUAGCGGCUAUAAAUAAGAUCUAUUCUACUCAACAAAGGACAACCACAUCUAGAGAGUAAGCUUCCUCUUUUACCUCCAAAACCCAGCAACUUUGUGCUCAGUUCAUCCUUCUCCCCCUUGUUUUUCCUCUUGGCAGAUCGUUUUGAUACUUGACAGAACCUCUAUCGAGCUGCCGGAAAAACACUUAAGUCACCCAUUGCCUAGCCUCUCUCCUCUUCUCGGCCAAAACCUCUGAUAAUCAUUUCCUCCUUUUCCUUAGAACCCUUGUUUUUUUUUUUUUCAUAUAAACUCACAGCUCUUUCCCUUUAAGGCUAAACUCAUGACAACUUUGCUCCCAUGCCAGAAGCCUCUCAUGUCAAGCCAAGAUUCUACUUGUAAGCACUAAGAAUUCAUUUGUAAGCUGUUGUUAUUUUUGUUGGUGAAGGUAACCAGGUGUUUCCUAAGGCUCUACUGUCCUUUCGAAGCAUUCUUGGAGCUUGAGUUCUGAACUCAGGCACAAGAGAUAAUUUCAUUUAGUUCGCUCAUUACGAUAGCCCAGCCCAUUUGUAGCUGCCAGAAGAAAAAA
RNAcentral lists this long non-coding RNA (754 nucleotides) under Prunus persica (peach). RNAcentral's name for it is "long non-coding RNA (PPER_LNC008285)". The record is from RNAcentral. Lineage: Eukaryota; Viridiplantae; Streptophyta; Magnoliopsida; Rosales; Rosaceae.